RNAcentral lists this ribosomal RNA (253 nucleotides) under uncultured bacterium. Its description in RNAcentral is "partial 16S ribosomal RNA". It matches the Rfam family "Bacterial small subunit ribosomal RNA", at positions 524 to 776 of the family's 1533-position model. The record is from RNAcentral.
UACGGAGGGUGCAAACGUUGCUCGGAAUCAUUGGGCGUAAAGCGCGUGUAGGCGGCUUUGCAAGUCGGAUGUGAAAGCCCACGGCUCAACCGUGGAAGUGCAUCCGAAACUGCAUGGCUCGAGUCUCGGAGAGGAAGGUGGAAUGCUUGGUGUAGAGGUGAAAUUCGUAGAUAUCAAGCAGAACACCGGUGGCGAAGGCGGCAUCCUGGACCGGCAUUGACGCUGAGGCGCGAAAGCUAGGGGAGCAAACGGG